This 553-nucleotide ribosomal RNA is filed under the name Trigonopterus sp. 467 MB-2015. RNAcentral's name for it is "SSU rRNA". It matches the Rfam family "Eukaryotic small subunit ribosomal RNA", at positions 37 to 568 of the family's 1831-position model. Lineage: Eukaryota; Metazoa; Arthropoda; Insecta; Coleoptera; Curculionidae. The record is from RNAcentral.
UCAAAGAUUAAGCCAUGCAUGUCUCAGUACAAGCCAAAUUAAGGUGAAACCGCGAAAGGCUCAUUAAAUCAGUUAUGGUUCCUUAGAUCGUACCCACAAUUACUUGGAUAACUGUGGUAAUUCUAGAGCUAAUACAUGCAAACAGAGCUCCGACCGGAGACGGGAGGAGUGCUUUUAUUAGAUCAAAACCAAUCGGUGGCGGGUUCGCUCGUUAUCGUACAACUUGGUGACUCUGAAUAACUUUACGCUGAUCGCACGGUCAUCGCACCGGCGACGCAUCUUUCAAAUGUCUGCCUUAUCAACUGUCGAUGGUAGGUUCUGCGCCUACCAUGGUUGUAACGGGUAACGGGGAAUCAGGGUUCGAUUCCGGAGAGGGAGCCUGAGAAACGGCUACCACAUCCAAGGAAGGCAGCAGGCGCGCAAAUUACCCACUCCCGGCACGGGGAGGUAGUGACGAAAAAUAACGAUACGGGACUCAUCCGAGGCCCCGUAAUCGGAAUGAGUACACUCUAAACCCUUUAACGAGGAUCAAUUGGAGGGCAAGUCUGGUGCC